This 253-nucleotide ribosomal RNA is filed under the name uncultured bacterium. RNAcentral's name for it is "partial 16S ribosomal RNA". It matches the Rfam family "Bacterial small subunit ribosomal RNA", at positions 524 to 776 of the family's 1533-position model. The record is from RNAcentral.
UACAGAGGUCUCAAGCGUUGUUCGGAUUCAUUGGGCGUAAAGGGUGCGUAGGUGGCGCCGUAAGUCGGGUGUGAAAUUUCGGAGCUUAACUCCGAAACUGCAUUCGAUACUGCGGUGCUUGAGGACUGGAGAGGAGACUGGAAUUCAUGGUGUAGCAGUGAAAUGCGUAGAUAUUGGGAGGAACACCGGUGGCGAAGGCGGCCCCCUGGACCGGUACUGACGCUGAGGCGCGAAAGCGUGGGUAGCAAACGGG